UACGGAGGGUGCAAGCGUUGUCCGGAUUUAUUGGGUUUAAAGGGUGCGUAGGUGGCCCCAUAAGUCAGUGGUGAAAGACAGCCGCUCAACGGUUGAGGUGCCAUUGAUACUGUGGGGCUUGAAGCAGACAGAGGCUGCCGGAAUGGAUGGUGUAGCGGUGAAAUGCAUAGAUAUCAUCCAGAACACCGAUUGCGAAGGCAGGUGGCUAUGUCUGACUUGACACUGAGGCACGAAAGCAUGGGGAGCAAACAGG
Molecule: ribosomal RNA, 253 nt
Filed under: uncultured Dyadobacter sp.
Lineage: Bacteria; Pseudomonadati; Bacteroidota; Cytophagia; Cytophagales; Spirosomataceae
Description: partial 16S ribosomal RNA
Rfam family: Bacterial small subunit ribosomal RNA
Source: RNAcentral